AUUGAACGCUGGCGGCAGGCCUAACACAUGCGAGUCGAGCGGAUGAAGGGAGCUUGCUCCUGGAUUCAGCGGCGGACGGGUGAGUAAUGCCUAGGAAUCUGCCUGGUAGUGGGGGAUAACGUCCGGAAACGGGCGCUAAUACCGCAUACGUCCUUAGGGAGAAAGUGGGGGAUCUUCGGACCUCACGCUAUCAGAUGAUCCUAGGUCGGAUUAGCUAGUUGGUGGGGUAAAGGCUUACCAAGGCGACGAUCCGUAACUGGUCUGAGAGGAUGAUCAGUCACACUGGAACUGAGACACGGUCCAGACUCCUACGGGAGGCAGCAGUGGGGAAUCUUGGACAAUGGGCGAAAGCCUGACGCAGCCAUGCCGCGUGUGUGAAGAAGGUCUUCGGAUUGUAAAGCACUUUAAGUUGGGAGGAAGGGCAGUAAGUUAAUACCUUGCUGUUUUGACGUUACCAACAGAAUAAGCACCGGCUAACUUCGUG
RNAcentral lists this ribosomal RNA (484 nucleotides) under uncultured bacterium. Its description in RNAcentral is "partial 16S ribosomal RNA". It matches the Rfam family "Bacterial small subunit ribosomal RNA", at positions 30 to 507 of the family's 1533-position model. The record is from RNAcentral.